UCACCAAGGAUAAAACAGGCUCUGAUACCAAUUGAUAUAGUAAAACUAGGAAAUCAAAUAAGAGAAUUCAAAAUUCUUGAACAAACAAAGGAACUCAAUGAGCAUGGUGGUCAUGCUUUUCAUUAUUAGAGAAAGAAAUUAUAAGAAGGAAAAUGCUUACAAAUCCUGGCUUGAAAAUGCUUCCUAACUGCUAAUUGCUACUUAUAGUUUCUAACCACUAACUGGCUAAUAACUUGCCAAAUGAUAAAAAUUAACAAAAUCAAAUUUAACUAACUCUAGACAUGUCAACCAGUUCCUAACUACCUUCCUAAGCCUGAAACACUUUUUGAUAAAUCUGAAUGAAUAUAAUUAGUACACUGCAUCUGUUUAAUUUCUUUCUUUCUCUCUCUCUUGCAGAUGGAUAAUAAUGACGGCUUCAAUGUUUUGGUCUAUCCCCAUGCGGACUACGCAUUCAUAGUGGCACUACUUAUGAUUGUUAGCGAGAUGAAACAUUAUUUUGACGAAAUGGUGUAUUUGGCCGCCGGAAUGGCACCACUUGGAGUUGGUAUGAAUUAAAGGAGCUCCCAAGUAAUUUUACUCAAUUAUGGACCUAUUUAAAAUUAAAUCAUGGGCUUGAUUUCUGUUAUAGAAUAGAUAGGGUUUGGUUUUCAUUUUCAGAGGAAUGUUUAUUUCCACCUCAUUGCAUGAAUUUGAGAGAACAAAAAAGCGUUAACAAAGUCUGGUUGGAUGGAUGAUGCCAAAUAACAUUUGCAUCUUCAAUGAGCCACGACCAUCAAAGAGGUUCCUUGCUACACUCUCUUGAGCACGAACACUCUGUCAUGCAAAUUCCCUAAUCAAAUCAUCUAUCUUCUUUGUGGGUAGGUCUUGUAUCAUACAAGCAUAGUUUUAAAUUGCGAUCGCGGUGGUGGUUUCUAGUUACAUUGUAGUGAGUCAGAAAACUUUUAUAUUACAAGUAAUUGUAGGAAAAUAUGAAAAAUAUGACUGAUGCGAUCAUAAUUGUGAUUGUAAUUGUUGCAUUGUGAUGAGUUAAUAUAUUUUGACAUUAGGACCGCAAUUAUGAUUGUAGAACCCCAUUUAAAACCAUGCAUACAAGUAUCAGCAUUGUAAGUCACAAUGUAAUUUAAAUGAUUUAUUAAUUUUUGGAUAGUGUCGCAACCUACCAUUCGGCAGGAGGGCGACACGAGGGCUCACGGGUGCGUCUUCCAUGGGAGGAAGAUGCGCGGAGUCGCCACCAAUGUUUAUUCGAGAAAAACGUCGGAAAAAUCGAAAAGAUGUGAUUUACGAACUUUAAGUGUGAAAGGUUCCAGAGUUGUAUUUACGCAUGGGGAAGGUAUUAGCACCCCACGCGUCCGUCACAAAGGACGAUAGCCUUUAAUCAAGUGUGCAAAGAUGUCUUCAAAUUGUUUUAUUUUCCCUUUUUUACGUUUUUAUGUCUUUUUAUGCCUUUUUGUAUUUUUUAUCUUUUUGUGGUCGACAAGGGUGUUUUCCUUACUCCUACGUAUUCCUCAAUUGUGAUAAGAAAAUCAGGCCUACGUAAUUCUUUCAAAAGGGGCGAAUCAAGUGAUUCUUUUUACUUGGAAGGGGUCAUUUAAGGCGUUGGACCUUAAAAUGAUCCAUUUUACUUGGUGAGAAAGUUAAGGCGUUGGACCUCUAACCAUCUCACGAGGUCGACAAAAGUGGGGCUUUUGCUCCUUCGUAUCCUCCAUCGAAGAGGAAAUCAGACUUACGUAGUUCUCGCAAAAGCGGUAAAGUUACAUGUUGAUUUUAUGCUUUUGAACGGUCCAUGUUAACCGAUAAAAGCAAAGAGGAUCGUUUAAGGCGUUGGACCUUAAAACGAUUUUUAGUGAUUUUUUGCGGACAAAGCUUGAUUUGUGAGUUGAUUUUAACCUUAGUUUCACUUUGGUUAUUAGUCAAUUGAUCCAAGAAAACUUCCAAAGAAAAACGCCCGAUUGAAUUUUUUUUAUUAUUUUAUUCAAAGAUAUUUUGAUUAUUUUAUUAUUAUUUUUCAAUAUAUUUUGAUUAUUUUAUUAUUAUUUUGCUUUUUUUUUUGUUUAACCAAGAUUACAGCGUGAAUAAUCGGUUAGAUUUUGUUUUAACAGUGAUUAAAUGAGAUUACAACGCAAAUGAUCAGUUGAAAUUCAUUUUAUCAUUUAUUAGGUGAGAAAACGACUUAAAUAAACAGUUAAAGUAUGUUAAAAACAGAAGAAAAGAAAACUGAAAGUAAGUGAAAUUAAAGUGAAAGUUGCUGAACACGGUAUAUUAAAGUGAAAUUAAAGAAGGGCAUAGACUCGAAUUGCUAUUUACACUCCUAUCUUGAUAAGUUCACCCCCCAUUUUUGUGUUUUUGGCUGUUUUCUUUUCGGAAUGUUGCGAAACUUUACGGAUUAUGCAACAAUACUCUUUUUGACUUCUGGAAUGUUGCGGAACUUUACGGAUUGCGCAACAAUGUUUCUUUUUUACUUCCAGAAUUUUGCGGAACUUUACGGAUUGCCUAACGAUGGGGGUUAAGUACCUCGAGGCGAUCAAGCGAAGGUUGCAUGCCACCAAAUAAUGGUCCCCAUACAAAAUUAGGAUAUGAGAGAUAGAUAUUAAAUUGCAUCUAAAUUGUGGAAUGUCUAAAACAUCAAGAAAUUUAUGCCUUUUUUGAGAUUCGGGUAUCCUGUUUCCUUAACCGUAGUCACAUCAAAAGCAACUAGGCACUAUGAUAUGUAGUGGUUCUUUUCAAGGUUUCGCAUUAAUUGAAUAUAUACAUUACCAAUCAUGUGAUUGAGAUGUUCACUAUCAUUGUUCGAGUGAGAUCAAGAAAGGGAUGUGAAUUUCAGCUUAAUUCAAAUCUUAAAAUCUAACUCAGAAUGCCGAUUGCUCCUUCCAUAUAUUAUCUUUAGUUAAUAUUAAACUUGUUUUCAUCGCAUAGGGCCAGCUGGUUAUAAUCGCACCCUUCAACAGUUGCAUUCUUCUGCUAGUAGUUGUCAGCCCGUGUAAAGCGCGCUCCCCCGAACAGAUUUCUGUGUUUCAAAAAGUUUUGCAUAUGUUCUAGUUUGCGUACGAAAAUUUUUCUUGAAAACUCAUUUGGUUACACCCAAAAGUAUGUUUGCAUAUGAAAAUUUUAUUUAAAAACUCGGUCUUCUAGAAGUAACACAGUAGUUAUUUAUUAAACUUAAGUUUACAAACUUUAAUUCAAAUAUAUGCAAUAAAGCAAUGGAGAUUUUUAGAGUGGUCUAGGAGGUCAAAGUCAGAAGACAAAGGGAAACAACGCCUCAUAUAUAAUGGCAAACCCUCUUAGUUUUUCUAAAAGUUUGACAUUUUUUUCUCUCUGUUAUCUGAGUAAUAUAUUGCCUUUAUUUUGGAAUGACUUAUAACUAAUUAUAAAACAAUAAGAAUAUUAAACAUAGGUUAUAUCUAUAAAUCGUUUACCAUAUAUUUUUAGGUAGGGAAAUAAGGCAUAUUGAAUCUGUGAGUUUUUUGGAUCUCUAAACAUAAUAUAUGACCAAAAUUAGAUACUGUCUACGGAAGAUUAGCGAUACCUUGAGUUUUGUUGGGUUACUGUGAAUUAAGCUUAUCUGAACUAUGAAUACAUAAAGCUACAAUUUUUUUCAUCCUUUAAGAGAAAUGCAUAAUGCGGAGCCAGUGGAAGGGGAAUAAUCUUCAAGGCAUGCGCACUUCAGAAGAUUGAUUUUAUCCCUCCAAGUUAUACCUAGAAUAAAGUUAAAUAUUAAAAAUUAAAAUAUUACAUCCUUUAGAAGUAAAUUUUCCUUUGAUAAUAAAUUAGACAUAAAUUGAUACUUGCACAACUCGUGAGACUCGACAACGCUUCUAUUUUUAUUUAUAGCGAACAAUACUUAUAUUUAGUAGUACUAAUUAUACUUCACUCGAUCAGUGAACUUGUCAUCCGAAGGUCAUAAAAAUUGAAUCUUUUUAUACCCCUUAAAAUCCUUUCUCAAAAGAGUAUUUGGUUCAAAAGAUAUAAUACAUGUAUAAUAAUUCUUACAACAAUUUAUACAACAUGAUUUUUGUGUCUAUAUUUCUAUUCUAUCAUUUAUCAUCUUUCAAAAUUUUCUCUCUCCUUUCACUUAUCUCUCUUUAUUGUAAGAUUUAUUAUACAAAUUAUUGUACAAAUAUCAUUUCUUUUCGUUCAAUUAGGCAAAAUGACAUCAAGGUAAAUUGCUUGGGUAUAGGCCGAAUAAGGUCAAGAGAGCAAGACUAAAACUUCCCACACUUUCAUCAUUGUUUUCUGCUACACCGCAUUGCAUUUCAGAAAUUCAAUCAGGAAUGCAAAAUCUGGACGUAAUAGUGGAAGUACAGGAAACAACAUUCAAGAAUAAGUUUUAUUCAUAAGAUCCAAAAAGUACACGCAACUUUUCAAGUUACAAGUUUACACUAGCUUAAGAGGGAGAUUAAUUUUUAAUAUAUAUAUAUAUAUAUAUAUAUAUAUAUAUAUAUAUAUAUAUAUAUAUAUAUAUAUAUAUAUAGGAUUAAGUGAGAUUCGGGAGAUACACAAGCUAUAUAUGAGCUUAAACAACCAAAUUAGCUCAAAAGUUAAAUUGUUUUUUACUCGGAAAUUGCUGAGUGGGAUCUGAAAAGUACAAUUAUUAUUUAAAUGAACUUUAGUGAAUAAUAAUUAAUAGAGAAAAUGAUUUUUAUACACCACAUUUUUUAAGGAAAAUAAUUUUUGUUCUUAUUUUUAGUCAAAUGUUGUUAAGGUCUUUAUUCAUUCAUACCAAUAAAUUUGGUCUUUUAACUUUAUUUCAGAAAACAUGUAGAUUUAGUUCAUCCAAUUUUAAGAAUUUAUCAUAGUUUUUUAAAUUAAGAGUUACUAAAUCCGCGUGUAUUUUAAAGUUUGAAGAAAAUCAAAUUUAUUAAGAUGAAAAUAAAAGACUAGAUCACAUUUGACUAAAAGUAUACGAACUAAAAAGUAUUUUAUUUUCUUUAUUUAAAUACUUAUUGUUUCUAUUUAUAUGUCUUCUUAUCACAUCAUAUAAUUUAUUGUACCACAAUCUAUUUGUUUUAUCUCUCCUAAUAUGUGUUGAAUAACAUUUGAGGUAUCUAAAAAUCAUUUUUGUAAAUAAUAAUGACUAAGGUGGCUCUUUUGUAACAAAUUAGAGAAAAAUUAUAUUUGAAAAUUCAAUCUUUUCAAAUACUUAAUCAACACUUAUCAAUCUUUUCUAUCUCUCUUCUUAUCUCAUUAUAUAUAUAUAUAUAAUACUUAUAUUUUUUUCUCUCUCUUAUAGGUGUCACAUGGUAUUUUAGGUGUUCAAGCAUCAUUUUUCUGUAAAAAAAUGGAUAAUAGUUAAAGCACAUGAUGGUCCGGCAAUGGAAGUGAUUAAUUGAAAAGAUUGAUUGUAUGGUUGAGGGCGAUUUUAUGAGGAAUAUAAAAGUGAAAAUUAUAUAAAGAAGAAAAGUGAAUGUGUUUAGUCGUAGUUAAUGAAGUAUAAAAUGUAUCCUAUGAAAUAGAAAUAUUUCAUCCCAAAAAUGUGAAUGUGUAUGUUGUUUUUAGUUUGAUGCCUCAAAAGUUAUCAAAGCACAAUAAAGACCAUGUGUGUGUUUGGAUGAGAGUUGGUAAAAUUAAUUUUGUAAAAUUAAUUUUGAAGUGAUGUAAUUUAUAUUUGGAUAUUUUAUUAUAUAAUCAAGUAAGGAUUAAAAUUCAGUACAAAAUUUUAGAUUCAACGCAAAAGUUAAUGAAAGUUGUUUUAAUCCAGAAUCAAUUUUGAAUUUUUCUCUAAUGUAAAAUCAAACAUGUAAAAAUAUAUCAAAAAUUCAUUAUAAACUCAAAAUCAUUUUUGAACACCAAACCAAAUACCUUUAGUUGUCAAAAAACAUUGGCUCGUUUACAUAGUUGAAAAUAGAGGUAUUCACUAUGAGGGUUGAUUCGAUUUUUAGAUAAAAGGUGAUUCAAACGAAGUAUAAAACAAAGAUACAGUUUGGUUUAGUUUGAUUUAAAUAUAACAUCAAAUUCAAACUAAAUUAAACCAAUUUUUACAGUUUGAUUUAGUAUGGUUUCACUUUUUUUAAUAUAUUAUCAUAGUUUAGAUUUAUAAAUUAAACUUGUGAUUAUUAUAUAUUAUAUAUGCUAUAUUAUUUAAAAAAUGAUUUUUAUUUUAUUGAAUUUUAUUUAACACAUUUUAGUUAUAAGAUACUAUUUUCUCUUCUAUUUAGCAAUGAAAUUACCAACUCUUUUUUAAUAACAAUAAUUUGUAUAUCACUUAAUAUUUAACACUGCUUUUUAACAAUAUUAGUACAUCUUUUUUUUAACAUGUAAAAAUAAUAUAUAUAUAUAUAUAUAUAUAUAUAUAUAUAUAUAUAUAUAUAUAUAUAUAUAUAUAUAUAUCUUGAUUAAAAUACAAAGAAAAAUAAUAUAUAAAUUAUUUAAUACUUAUUCUUAUUUAUCACAAUAAAAAUUAAUAUAAUUAUAAUAUGCAGUUUGUUUGAUUUUUUAUUACAAGAUCUAAAAAUUAAAUCAAAAUGUAAAAAAUAUGUAAUUUUUUGGUUUUUUUUAUUUUUGCAGUUUUUUUAUGUAAGCAAUUUUGGGUUUAUUUGAAUCGAUUUGGUGAUUUAUAAGCAAUUUAAUUCGGUUUAAAAUACUCUGGUUGAAGACAAUUAGUUUCGUCACAGUAGUAGGUACACCAUUACCGAUUAACCCGCAAUUAGGUUGCUACACAGUAAAAGAAAGGAGGCAUGCAUGUGAACUUUUUUAACAACUUUGCUUUCUUCUUUAUUUCAUUCAAUUUUGUUCUCACAUUUUAAUUCAUUCUCUUUCCUAACAACCUAAAACAAUGGGAACGUCGGUGUCGCUAUGUGUUUGAGAUUGACCACUCGUACUCGUGUUUAACGCGUGUAUCUAUAGAUAAUGAUUGGUUUUUUACUUUUUACGCGGGUAUGUAUGCUCCUUUACUUGGUCAGUAUAUUUCUAAGAACAUAAUGAUUGGUUUUUUUACUUUUACACGUAUAUAUAUGUACGGAAUAAUGAACAUGCUUUAUAAACUAGCAUAUAAAUUAAACCACAAGAGACUCCGUUUCGUUCCAUAACAUAUCUCCCUCUCCAAAUGGCAUUCCCAGUUAUCAGCAGUGACUACUGUGCUCCUUACGCUAUCAAUCUUCAAAUCAAUACAAAAACAGGUUUCACGUACGACGCAAACAAUGCCUGUCGCUUUUAUAUCGAAGAUAAAUUAUUCACACUUCACAAGCGACGUGUCUUGUGUGAUAAUCAAGGAAACCCCAUUGUCACUCUAUACAAGAAGGUUUGGCUACUGAGGCAUCUUAUACUCAUUGAUUUCCUUCAAUAAGUUAGUUAGUUAAUUAGGUUUAUUGAUUCGAUAUUCCCAGCAAAAUCUUUUUAAAAUUUUCGUUUUAGCUACUAAAUUAUCCAUCUAUAUUCUUCUACUUAUUGAUUUCCCUCAACUAAUUAGUUCAUUAACUGUAUUAAUUCAAUAUUUCCAGCAAUUUUUUUAUAUAAGCUACUAAAUUAUCCAUAUAUAUUGUUAUUAUUCUUAAUUUUUUUUAUGUAGAGAAUGACAUUGCAUGGGCGAUGCCAAGUUUUUAGGGGUUAUAAAAGCAAAGAUUUCUCUCAAUUGCUCUUUUCAGUGAAGAGAUCAUCAAUGAUACCGAGUGGGAUGGUUAACUUAGAGGUCUUCCUCGCUAACAACCAAAGAGAAAGUGCCUGUGACUUUAGAGUCAACGUUUAAUUUGUAGAGAUAAAAGAUCAUGCACUGUUUAUGCCGGUGAAUCUCCUAGAAUUGUUGCCACGGUAUGUACUGCGUUAAUUCUUGUGUGUUUUAUAUAUACACAAGCACACAAUACACAUAAACUUAACUGCCUUUUUGAUAAAUCUGAAUGAAUAUAAUUAGUACACUGCAUCUGUUUAAUUUCUUUCUCUCUCUCGCAGAUGGAGAAUAAUGGCGGCUUCAAUGUUUUGGUCGAUCCCUAUGUGGACUACGCAUUCAUAGUGGCACUACUUAUGAUUGUUAGCGAGAUGAAACAUUAUUUUGAUGAAAUGGUGAAUUUGGCCGCCCGAAUGACAAUUGCAUUGGGUAGUAGUAUGACUUAACAGAGCUCCAAAACAAUUUUACUCAAUUAUGGACCUAAUUAAAAUUAAAUCAUGGGCUUGAUUUCUGUUA
This 8110-nucleotide long non-coding RNA is filed under the name Glycine max (soybean). RNAcentral describes it as "long non-coding RNA (GMAX_LNC004207)". The record is from RNAcentral. Lineage: Eukaryota; Viridiplantae; Streptophyta; Magnoliopsida; Fabales; Fabaceae.